Molecule: ribosomal RNA, 468 nt
Filed under: uncultured bacterium
Lineage: Bacteria
Description: partial 16S ribosomal RNA
Rfam family: Bacterial small subunit ribosomal RNA
Source: RNAcentral
GACGAACGCUGGCGGCGUGCUUAACACAUGCAAGUCGAACGGAAAGGCCCUGCUUUUGUGGGGUGCUCGAGUGGCGAACGGGUGAGUAACACGUGAGUCACCUGCCCUUGACUUUGGGAUAACUUCAGGCAACUGGGGCUACUACCGGAUAGGAGCUCCUGCUGCAUGGUGGGGGUUGGACAGUUUCGGCGGUUGGGGAUGGACUCGCGGCUUAUCAGCUUGUUGGUGGGGUAGUGGCUUACCAAGGCUUUGACGGGUAGCCGGCCUGAGAGGGUGACCGGCCACAUUGGGACUGAGAUACGGCCCAGACUCCUACGGGAGGCAGCAGUGGGGAAUAUUGCACAAUGGGCGGAAGCCUGAUGCAGCAACGCCGCGUGCGGGAUGACGGCCUUCGGGUUGUAAACCGCUUUCGCCUGUGACGAAGCGUGAGUGACGGUAAUGGGUAAAGAAGCACCGGCUAACUACGUG